GACACAGGAAGGCAUCUUCUCUGUGUGGAAAGCUCCGGCGGUGCAGGAUGAGCCCGCGGCCUAUCAGCUUGUUGGUGGGGUGAUGGCCUACCAAGGCGACGACGGGUAGCCGGCCUGAGAGGGCGACCGGCCACACUGGGACUGAGACACGGCCCAGACUCCUACGGGAGGCAGCAGUGGGGAAUAUUGCACAAUGGGCGAAAGCCUGAUGCAGCGACGCCGCGUGAGGGAUGACGGCCUUCGGGUUGUAAACCUCUUUCAGCAGGGAAGAAGCGCAAGUGACGGUACCUGCAGAAGAAGCACCGGCUAACUACGUGCCAGCAGCCGCGGUAAUACGUAGGGUGCGAGCGUUGUCCGGAAUUAUUGGGCGUAAAGAGCUCGUAGGCGGCUUGUCACGUCGGAUGUGAAAGCCCGGGGCUUAACCCCGGGUCUGCAUUCGAUACGGGCAGGCUAGAGUUCGGUAGGGGAGAUCGGAAUUCCUGG
Molecule: ribosomal RNA, 483 nt
Filed under: Streptomyces coelicolor
Lineage: Bacteria; Bacillati; Actinomycetota; Actinomycetes; Kitasatosporales; Streptomycetaceae
Description: bacterial SSU rRNA
Rfam family: Bacterial small subunit ribosomal RNA
Source: RNAcentral